UGAUGAAUUGCAGUUUGGAACACUUCUGCAUGGGCUUCAUAGUUUGAGACCGGACGUUGCCGCUUGAUUAAAACCUAGCCUGUGGAGGGCAGCAUUAUACUCCCCAGUGUACAGCCUGCCGGAAUAUCAGAAGAAGAAGAAGAAGGAGAAGAAGAAGAAGAAGAAGAAGAAGAAGAAGAAGAAGAAGAAGAAGAAGAAGAAGAAGAAGAAGAAGAAGAAGGAUACAUUGGUCCCCUCUCUGUCUGGAGGAUCCUCCACAUAGACCAGGACCUCACCACUGCCAGCCUCCAGAGUCUCCACAGUAAACACAGCUGGUCUCAGCACCUUGUUGCCAUGUGGUUCAAUACCUGGAGUCACAAAGUGGCACAACAACAAAAUGGUGUUUAAGGGCUACCCACCAGGUCCGUAGGCUUUGGCCUUGUCUGGGAAAAGCUGUUUGGACUUGAGAGGAGCUCCAGGCUUCAGCUUUGCCUUGGGGAACUGGGACAGGUUCAGGGACCGUGGAGGUGUUGUGACUCAGCAGUCAGUGACAUGGCAGUGACACCAGAUGCCAGCACCAUCCCUGAUGAAGUGGUGGGAGGGCCACCGUAGAAGAGGCUCCUGUGAGGAAUGAUAAGCCAGCAGGGAGACACUUCUCACCAGGCCGACUGCUGGGGAUUUCAUGAAUGGGACUUCAUGAUACCUUAAACCCCGAGAUUGUGAUUGCCAGCGAAGGCUCCUGCCGAGAAAAGAAAGCGCUCAGACAUCAUGCGGUCUUCUCCAGCUCUGCCUUGCAGCGCUGCAGCUCCUCCUCCAGCUCGGCUCUCUCCUUCUGGCUGCUGUCAUAAAGUACCUGCAGCUCCUGCAGCUCCAUCUUCAGACCGUCACACUUGAGGACACACAGUUUCACAAAGGCAUCAUACCUCUCUUUGAACCUGUGAGGCCUUCUCCUCCGCCUGCUUCAGCUGGUCCCUCAGGGAGAAGACCUCUCCGAUGCCUCCGUUCCAGCCGGUUGGUGUCAUAGGCUUCCCGUCGAAUGAAAUAUUUUUCUGGAUGGAGGCGUCCACCAGGCGACAGUUCUCAGACUGGGCCAUGGUCAUGUAGCUCUCUGUCAUGACCUCAUCGGAGCCGGUCUCUGUCUCCUUCCCCUCUGUGCUUUCCCCUACAUCCUCCUCCUCCUUCAGUGACAGGUACACACUGGAGCUGGAAGAGAGGAGUAACAGUGGAGAAUAUAACGCAUUCGAUUGCCACUUCUGUGAUCUAAGGCUAGACAUGGUUUAUAGCUAUCUUAUAUCCUAACAAGUGAGCUUGUAUUUCUUUGCUUUGUGUAAGAUACAGUUUGCAGAGAUUCCCUCAUGGCCAGAAAAAAUAACCUAUAAGUGAUGGAAUGAUUUUCUUUUCUGUGUAUUGUUUUGUCUAUAAAAUUUUGGAAAAGCCUGACAAACUUUUUUUUCUGAACCAAAGUUCAAAAUCCAAA
Molecule: long non-coding RNA, 1456 nt
Organism: Notolabrus celidotus (New Zealand spotty)
Lineage: Eukaryota; Metazoa; Chordata; Actinopteri; Labriformes; Labridae
Exons: 8
Source: RefSeq, a predicted model, not a curated record